UGUCUGGGUCGAUUAGCCAUGCUAGUUGCACGAGUUCAUACUCGUGGCGAAAGCUCAGUAACACGUGGCCAAACUACCCUACAGAGAACGAUAACCUCGGGAAACUGAGGCUAAUAGUUCAUACGGGAGUCAUGCUGGAAUGCCGACUCCCCGAAACGCUCAGGCGCUGUAGGAUGUGGCUGCGGCCGAUUAGGUAGACGGUGGGGUAACGGCCCACCGUGCCGAUAAUCGGUACGGGUUGUGAGAGCAAGAGCCCGGAGACGGAAUCUGAGACAAGAUUCCGGGCCCUACGGGGCGCAGCAGGCGCGAAACCUUUACACUGCACGCAAGUGCGAUAAGGGGACCCCAAGUGCGAGGGCAUAUAGUCCUCGCUUUUCACGACUGUAAGGCGGUCGUGGAAUAAGAGCUGGGCAAGACCGGUGCCAGCCGCCGCGGUAAUACCGGCAGCUCAAGUGAUGACCGAUAUUAUUGGGCCUAAAGCGUCCGUAGCCGGCCACGAAGGUUCAUCGGGAAAUCCGCCAGCUCAACUGGCGGGCGUCCGGUGAAAACCACGUGGCUUGGGACCGGAAGGCUCGAGGGGUACGUCCGGGGUAGGAGUGAAAUCCCGUAAUCCUGGACGGACCACCGAUGGCGAAAGCACCUCGAGAAGACGGAUCCGACGGUGAGGGACGAAAGCUAGGGUCUCGAACCGGAUUAGAUACCCGGGUAGUCCUAGCUGUAAACGAUGCUCGCUAGGUGUGACACAGGCUACGAGCCUGUGUUGUGCCGUAGGGAAGCCGAGAAGCGAGCCGCCUGGGAAGUACGUCCGCAAGGAUGAAACUUAAAGGAAUUGGCGGGGGAGCACUACAACCGGGAGGAGCCUGCGGUUUAAUUGGACUCACGCCGGACAUCUCACCAGCUCCGACUACAGUGAUGACGAUCAGGU
Molecule: ribosomal RNA, 925 nt
Filed under: Haloferax sp. PR13
Lineage: Archaea; Methanobacteriati; Methanobacteriota; Halobacteria; Halobacteriales; Haloferacaceae
Description: bacterial SSU rRNA
Rfam family: Archaeal small subunit ribosomal RNA
Source: RNAcentral